RNAcentral lists this ribosomal RNA (644 nucleotides) under uncultured fungus. Its description in RNAcentral is "eukaryotic LSU rRNA". The stretch from base 278 to 431 matches the Rfam family "5.8S ribosomal RNA". The record is from RNAcentral. Lineage: Eukaryota; Fungi.
GUGAACCUGCGGAAGGAUCAUUACUGAACGAAAUGGGUGGCAAGGCUGUCGCUGGCUUAAAUGAGCAUGUGCACGUCUUUUUGUCGCUUACUUCAUUCUCNUCUUCCACCUGUGCACUCUUUGUAGACACUUGGGAUGUGAGAGAGGGGUUGGCAUUGAUUUGUCGGACUUCUCUUGAUAUUGAAAAUCUGGGUGUUUAUGUAUUUUUUGACAUACACGGUUGAAUGUCUAUAGAAUGAAAUUAUAGGCUCUUGUCAGCCUUUAAAUGAUAAAAUACAACUUUCAACAACGGAUCUCUUGGCUCUCGCAUCGAUGAAGAACGCAGCGAAAUGCGAUAAGUAAUGUGAAUUGCAGAAUUCAGUGAAUCAUCGAAUCUUUGAACGCAUCUUGCGCUCCUUGGUAUUCCGAGGAGCAUGCCUGUUUGAGUGUCAUUAAAUAUCUCAAAACUCUUGUGCUUUUGUUGGCAUAGGACUUUUGGACAUUGGGAGUUGCCGGCUGCUGGUAAAGUAGUGGGCUCUUCUGAAAAGCAUUAGUUGAGGAGCUUUGCACUCUUAUUGGUGUGAUAAACUAUCUAUGCCAAGAGAUGCUUCAUGAUCCUCUGCCGUCUAACUGUCUUUAUAAGACAAUAUGAUAAACUUGACCUC